Long non-coding RNA from Hippocampus comes (tiger tail seahorse), 405 nucleotides. RefSeq lists it as uncharacterized. The record is from RefSeq and is a predicted model, not a curated record. The transcript has 2 exons. NCBI's taxonomy places the organism in Eukaryota, Metazoa, Chordata, Actinopteri, Syngnathiformes, Syngnathidae.
UCAUGCGCACAAGAUCAACUCAAAUUGCGGAAAGAUGUGUUGUUUCAUGUUGAUCUGCAAGAGUGGCUUUGGAACGACUCAAAGGCUUUGUACAUGCCUUAAACCUUCUGCACUGCUCUAUUUUAAUGUUCGUCAUGAUGGUGGUACUUUGAGAUUCGUAUUUUUUGGGCGUGGAAUACGUUUGAGAAAACACUUUUCUAAUCUAUCUAUGCAGAAUUGGCAUUGGUGUGAUAAACAACCAAAACAGAACUCAGUUUGUAGUUCGGGGAUUUUUUUUAUCGAGUUUUGGAUGAUGCAGUCUUCCAAGUAAAUUUAAUACAAAUAUACAGUUGGUUGAUUAAAUCUCACUAUGUUAGCGAUAACUCCAAGUGUGAGCAAAGGAAAAAAAGUAUUUCUUUUCUAUUU